UCAACUGCAAUGGCACCAUCAAUGAUUUUCUCCACAGAUAUAUAGAUGUCAGUCAAAGCGCUGGAGUUCCCUGCAGGUGUUUCAACUUGACAACAAGUCUGGAACAAGCAAAGCAUAACAACAGGUUUCGUGAGAUGGUUCCUUCUGCCACCAAGCAUGUUCCUGUCAAUGACAUGGUGAUUCACAGCUACCGGAAAAAGUUUGUGGCUCCCAGUUUGUCUGAGGGCUUCUCUGAAAUCCUGCAGAUUCAUUUUGUGCCCAGUUUCAGUGACAAAAGAUCAGAGUUCCUCUUCAGGCAGUUCUCUUAGGGCUAAGCGUGAAGUUGAGC
This is a long non-coding RNA of Sinocyclocheilus grahami, 328 nucleotides long. RefSeq lists it as uncharacterized. Lineage: Eukaryota; Metazoa; Chordata; Actinopteri; Cypriniformes; Cyprinidae. The record is from RefSeq and is a predicted model, not a curated record. The transcript has 3 exons.